GUAAAACUGAGUUAGUGAACUUUAGGGCACUGUGUCUAUGGAAUUCUUUAGCUUUUACUGCUGUAAAACAAUUGGCUAAUCUCUGAGAUCUUGUUGUGCAGUCAAGAAUGUACCUCCAGUGCUAGAUUUUUUAAUUGUUAAUUAAUUAAAUGACAUUUAUUUUCAAGAGUCCAAAACCCCACAGGCUUUCUUUUUUUUUUGAGGGAGGUAAGAAUAUUUGCUUGUUUUCCCUUCAAUCCCUCAGGUGUGAAGUCAGUCCCAUUGGGUACCAUCUGGUUGGUUCCUCAUUUGACCACUAGGAGGACUGUGAGAUGCAGUGGACACUGGAGAUUUAAAUAUGCAAAUACUGAUCUCUGUUUCAGAUUUGUAGCUUUAGUAUUGUUUAGUAUUUAGUAUUGUUGCCUCACCAAGAUGAUCUGAAUAGAGCCUGUCUCAAAUUAUUUGGCCUUCUUUUGAAGGAUCUUUAUUGCCUUUAUCUCAUAGUUUCAAUUUCAGAUCUUGAUGGGAAGAAAAUAUAAAUAUUAGUUAAGAUUUCGUUUCUUCCUUAUACAAUAGAGAGCUAUUCCUCUGCAAAUUUGGGGGGAAAAAAUGAUAGGCAACCUGCAUUUCAUUCAACUUUCUGUUUUGUGAUUCCACAGACUUAUAGAAAAAGACCCAAAGUGUAAUAUUCAUUCACCGCUUCAGUUUAUGACAUAACUAUUUGAUUAAAAAGAAAUCAUCUAAACAAACAAAACUUAGAGAACACAUUUCAUUAACAUUAGCACUCAGCAUUCUACCUUAAAAUUGAUUUUUACUGUAUACAUUUGGAGUUUUUUUUUUUUUUUAAUUAAAGGUCUGAAAAAGAACUGUGUUUG
This 854-nucleotide long non-coding RNA is filed under the name Bos taurus (domestic cattle). Its description in RNAcentral is "long non-coding RNA NONBTAT009297". The record is from RNAcentral. Lineage: Eukaryota; Metazoa; Chordata; Mammalia; Artiodactyla; Bovidae.